This is a long non-coding RNA of Onychostruthus taczanowskii (white-rumped snowfinch), 591 nucleotides long. RefSeq lists it as uncharacterized. The transcript is spliced from 4 exons. The record is from RefSeq and is a predicted model, not a curated record. Lineage: Eukaryota; Metazoa; Chordata; Aves; Passeriformes; Passeridae.
GCCGGGCCCGCCGGCGGCCUUACCGCCUCCACGGCGUGCUGCAGGAUGGAGGUGAACUUGGAGAACAUCCUGUCCCGCGACUGCAGCAGCCGCUGCCGGGAGGACCUCGAGAGCUCCUCGAUCCGCCGCCGCCGCCGCUCCAGGAGAGAAGGAGACAAAGAGAGUUUUAUUUCACCUCUGAAUCAAAUACUUCAGAGAAAAAAAACAUCCCUCCCAUUUUGCGGCACCACAGGAAAAGCAGAGGCAUGGAGAGCUACAGCCCAAAUACUCCAUGGAAGUAAAUACUAGUUGUAUGUGGACACCUUUAUUGCAGUUGUUAAAGAGCAGAGCUAUUUCCUUCUCAAAAUCCAGGAGUCCCAAUAUGUCAAUAUCAAUUUAAAAGAAGAAGUUCCUGCAGUCUGGACUUUUGCUUCAGAGAGCCUGAAGAUUUGGUGAAUUUUUUUACCCUAGAUGAAAAUUUUCCUGUUAGUGCUAUGCCAAAUACCUGUUGACAUUCUGUGCAGGAUUUUAGUGUGUUUGUAAUAAUCAGAUUGACAUCUAUGUUUUCAGUGACUGCUUGGAUGAAAUAAAGAAUGAAGUUUUAGUGAUUCA